CCUACGGGUGGCAGCAGUGAGGAAUAUUGGUCAAUGGGCGCGAGCCUGAACCAGCCAAGUCGCGUGAAGGAUGACUGAUCUAUGGGUUGUAAACUUCUUUUAUAAAGGAAUAAAGGUAGCCACGUGUGGCUUUUUGCAUGUACUUUAUGAAUAAGCAUCGGCUAACUCCGUGCCAGCAGCCGCGGUAAUACGGAGGAUCCGAGCGUUAUCCGGAUUUAUUGGGUUUAAAGGGUGCGUAGGUGGUUUUUUAAGUCAGUUGUGAAAGUUUGCGGCUCAACCGUAAAAUUGCAGUUGAUACUGGCAGCCUUGAGUACAGUUGAGGUAGGCGGAAUUCGUGGUGUAGCGGUGAAAUGCAUAGAUAUCACGAAGAACUCCGAUUGCGAAGGCAGCUUACUAAGC
RNAcentral lists this ribosomal RNA (399 nucleotides) under uncultured bacterium. RNAcentral describes it as "partial 16S ribosomal RNA". It matches the Rfam family "Bacterial small subunit ribosomal RNA", at positions 338 to 734 of the family's 1533-position model. The record is from RNAcentral.